RNAcentral lists this long non-coding RNA (7099 nucleotides) under Triticum aestivum (bread wheat). RNAcentral's name for it is "long non-coding RNA (TAES_LNC002525)". Lineage: Eukaryota; Viridiplantae; Streptophyta; Magnoliopsida; Poales; Poaceae. The record is from RNAcentral.
GCCGCUGUAUCACACAGCCGACCCUUUUCUCUUCUCUGUAUUUCUCUUCUAAAAGCAAAUAUGCAUACAAGUGCUUAAGUAGACUCACGCUCACGUAGCCGGGCCACACACUCGCCCACUAACUGCAUGCACGCACCCACGCACACCACUAACUAAUGACUUGAUCUUCUCCUAGAAUCACUCUAGGAACCACACGACCCGGCCACUCAUGCAGCAGCAGCUAACAACCUCGGACAUGCAUACACAGCAGCCUCUCGCCACCGUUCGGCAUCUCGCCAUGCGCCAUAUCUCACGGCGCCUCGCAUCUCACCUCCUGCAUGUUCUCCAAGGCUUCACCUGCUACAACUACCUAUAUGCAUGGACAAGCAAACUAAUAUGCAGAUACAUCUGAAUCAAGAUUAAAAAAGCUAACAAUCACCCCCCUAAUCUUGAUUCCCAAUUCUUCAUGUUCAAAGGAGAGCUGGCUCGUCGUCGACGUACUGUCCCAGCAGCGCCUUCUCCUCCUCGUUCUCCUUCUUCUCGGGACACUCCCAAGCGAAGUGACCAAGUUUGCGGCAAUUGUAACACUGUACCUCAUUUUUGUCUCUACGCCCUCCACCGCGUCCACGGCCACGACCCCGUCCUCGCGACGAGUCGUGUCCUCUCGCCAUGAGGAGCUGCUCUUCUUCGCGUCCCGUCUCAUGCCCCUUGACGAGUUCCUCGUGUGCCUUGAGUGAACCAAUGGCCUCCUCCAUGCACUGGUAGAAAAAGAGGCUUCCGUCCAGCCCCAUUAGUCGCGAAACUGUAGGAACCGCGACUAAUGAAGUCUUUAGUCGCGGUUCGGCAGACGAACCGCGACCAAAGGCCUGGGCCCAGGGCGCUCGGUGGCCAGCUGGUGCACGUGAGGGGCUUUAGUCGUGGUUGGCCAGGCCAACCGCGACUAAAGGUGCGCAAAGGCCUUUAGUCGCGGUUGGCCAGGCCAACCGCGACUAAAGCUCCUCCCCUAUAUAUACCAGUUCAGCACGCUCACUUAGCCAUUUGGUGCCACUUCUCUUCACAAGCUUCACAAGGGGGUGUAGGUUUGCUUUUGGUUCCUCUUAUGCACACAAGGUGUUUGAUGAAAUGCCCUAAGAGGGUGAAACAAACAUGAUAUGAAGUGUUGGAGCCACACUUGAGGUUCCUCAUUUAUUUUUUCCUUCUCGAUCGCGGUUAGCAACUUGAACCUUUCAUGCAUGUGUGUCAUUGAUAAAAUAUGCAUGUGUGCAGUUCAUUGUUUAAUUUAUAUUGUUUGUAGCUAGUUAGUUUAACAAAUGCAUGAUGGUUAAUUAUAUAUUUUAUAUUAUAAUAAUGCAGAUGAAUCGGCAAUGGAUGUACGGUAACCGACUCUCCGGCGAGUUCACUACGGGUUUGAAAGAUUUCCUCGUAGUGGCUAAUGCGAACAAGCAGGGGGGUUUUGUUAUCUGUUCAUGUGUUAUCUGUAAGAAUCAGAAGGGUUACUCUUCCUCAAGAGAUGUUCACAUGCAUCUGCUUCGGCACGGUUUCAUGCCAAGCUAUAAUUGUUGGACCAAGCAUGGAGAAAGAGGGGUUAUAAUGGAAGAAGAUGAAGAAGGGGAUGAUUUCAUCGAUGAAAGCUAUCUUGCUCAUUUCGGUGAUACUUUCAUGGAGGAUGCUGAAGGUGAAGGGGAAGGUGAAGAAGAGGCACGUGAUGAUCCCGUUGAUGAUCUUGGUCGGACCAUUGCUGAUGCACGGAGACGCUGCGAAACUGAAAAGGAGAGGGAGAAUUUGGAUCGCAUGUUAGAGGAUCACAGAAAGGCGCUGUACCCCGGAUGCGAUGAUGGUCUGAAAAAGCUGGGCUGCACACUGGAUUUGCUGAAAUGGAAGGCAGAGGCAGGUGUAGCUGACUUGGCAUUUGAAAACUUGCUGAAAAUGUUGAAGAAUAUGUUUCCAAAGGAUAACGAGUUGCCCGCCAGUACGUACGAAGCAAAGAAGGUUGUCUGCCCUCUAGGUUUAGAGGUUCUGAAGAUACAUGCAUGCAUCAACGACUGCAUCCUCUACCGCGGUGAAUACGAGAAUUUGAAUGAAUGCCCGGUAUGCACUGCAUUGCGUUAUAAGAUCAGAGGCGAUGACCCUGGUGACGAUGUUGAGGGCCAGAAACCCAGGAAGAGGGUUCCCGCCAAGGUGAUGUGGUAUGCUCCUAUAAUACCACGAUUGAAACGUCUGUUCAGGAACAAAGAGCAUGCCAAGUUGUUGCGAUGGCACAAAGAGGACCGUAAGUCGGACGGGGAGUUGAGACACACCGCAGAUGGAACGCAAUGGAGAAAGAUCGAUAGAUGGUUCAAAGAUUUUGCAGCUGACGCAAGGAACAUAAGAUUUGCUCUAAGUACGGAUGGCAUGAAUCCUUUUGGCGAGCAGAGCUCCAGCCAUAGCACCUGGCCCGUGACUCUAUGCAUCUACAACCUUCCUCCUUGGUUGUGCAUGAAGCGGAAGUUCAUUAUGAUGCCAGUGCUCAUCCAAGGUCCGAAGCAACCCGGCAACGACAUCGAUGUGUACCUAAGGCCAUUAGUUGAUGAACUUUUACAGCUGUGGGGUGGUGUCCGUGUGUGGGAUGAGCACAAACAAGAGGAAUUUGACCUACGAGCGUUGCUUUUCGUAACCAUCAACGAUUGGCCUGCUCUUAGUAACCUUUCGGGACUGUCAAAUAAGGGAUACAAUGCAUGCACGCACUGCUUACAUGAGACUGAAAGUGUACAUUUGCCAAAUUGUAAGAAGAACGUGUACCUUGGGCAUUGUCGAUUUCUUCCGAAAAUUCAUCCAGUAAGAAAGAAAGGCAAGCAUUACAACGGCAAGGCAGAUCACCGGCCGAAGCCUGCGGAACGCACUGGUGCUGAGGUAUUUGAUAUGGUCAAGGAUUUGAAAGUCAUCUUUGGAAAGGGUCCUGGCGGACAAUCAGUUCCGAAGGGAGCUGACGGGCACGCAGCCAUGUGGAAGAAGAAAUCUAUAUUCUGGGAGCUAGAAUAUUGGAAAGUCCUAGAUGUCCGCUCUGCAAUCGACGUGAUGCACGUUACGAAGAAUAUUUGCGUGAACCUCCUAAGCUUCUUGGGCGUGUAUGGGAAGACAAAUGAUACAAAGGAAGCACGGCAGGACCAGCAACGUUUGAAAGACCCUGAUGACCGGCAUCCGGAAUGGUUUCAAGGUCGUGCCAGCUACGCUCUGACCAAAGAAGAGAAGGUCAUCUUUUUUGAACGCCACCAAGUUUGUCAGCCAAUGCGGAGCCAUUGUUAGAGACAACGUCUCGAUCACCGUCCAGGAGUGGAAUGAGCCAAAGAAGGCACGAAUUGAUGGUUUCACUUUUGUCGAUAAGAGAACAAAAAAAGAUUGCUUCAAGAAGCUUAUGGAACAUUUCGUUCUACCUCCGGAAUACAACAAAUUCGAUGAGGAGGGUAACAAGAUUGAGGAAAACAAGGAGAGGAGGAGGCUAGUCAAACAGUUCGCUCUUCAUAAGAUGGCCGACGCAUUCCGGAAAUUCAAGCAAAAUCUAGCCCAUGACUUUGUCAAGCAGAACAAGACUCCGGAUUUCAAAGGACAAUAUGAGAAACUGAAACAUGAUUGGCCAGAAUUUGUGAAGCAAAAGAAAUCGGAGCAGUUCAUUCAAAUAUCGAAAAAAAUAAGGAAAAUGCGGCUAAGAAGGAGUACAAUCAUGUUAUGGGGCCAGGAGGGUAUCGCAUUUGGGUGCCUAGGUUGGAGAAGAUGGAGAACGAGCUGAGGGCGCGAGGAAUCCGUCCAGGUACGGAGGGAUGGGACCCAAGGGCCAAAAGCUGGUGGUACGGGCAUGGGGGAACGCUGAUGAGCAAAAGAAGUGGGCUAAGUCAUUUUUGAGCACACCGUCCCAAGCCGCGAAGAAUCUGCCUAACGACUAUGCACGUGAACUUCGCAGGCAGGCACUCAUGUUCAAGGAGAACAAAGAGCGGGAGAAGGCCGAAAGUAAAAAAAGCGGGAAACAAGUUGCCCAGCUCGGGGAACAAAGUAAACAAUCGAUUGCCCCGCUUAUAGUGGAAGCCUUCUGUCCGGAUGCCCCCGAGAUCAUACAAGCUGCGGCAGCACAGGGAUUGACUGUAACGAGUGCCAGAGAACAAGCGGCCAACUUAGGUAUUACUCUUCGUGAACUGUUAGGCCUUGAUGAGGCGCCAGUAAAGGAGGUAGUAAUUACAUAUGUCAAGAAUGGGCCUCUCGUCGAGCCUGCGCAGGAAAAGGAUCUACCUCCACAAAUGAAAGGUCUGCUGAAAUGGUACAAGGGUUACAUAAAAAAUAAAAACGCCAAAGAAUAUAUUUAUGCGGAAGUUAGACAUGAGCAUCACUUCAAACAUUACUAUGUACAAAUUGAACUGAGUGAAUUGUUCCAGCUUUUCAAUCUGCGCGAGCUCGAUAAAUCUAUCAUCAGUUGCUACGUUCUGUAAGUGAUUUAUUAAUUUCUACCCCAUCUCGUUCAUAUUGCCUGCACUAUAUAUAUGUCCUAACUAUAUUGUUGUGUCCGCUAUUAUACAUGCAGAAUGAAGAUUAAGGAAUGCAGAGUAAGGAACAUCCAUGAUGUUGGGUUCAUUGACCCACACAUCGUUAAUGGACAUGUGUUGGAGCGUUACCCCGCCGAUGUGGAGGCAGACCUGUGGCAGUUUCUUACAAAGCAGGAACUCAAAAGUGAUAUUCUAUUUCCUUACCAUUUUGAGUGAGUGUUUCUGUCUUGAGCACAUUCUCUUUUGUUUACUCCAUGCAUGGUAUGUGGCCGGCUAAUCGAUGAGUUAUGCAUGACGUACUGUGCAUGUAUCGUGUCCGCAGGUUUCACUGGAUUCUGCUAGUAAUUAAAGUUAACACCUCAGAAUGUCUCGUCCACGACUCUGUGAAUAUGGAUCCAAAGCUUUGGGGCGGCAUGAGAAGAAUGCUGCAGAAGUAAUUAUUUUCAUUCAUUUGCGCUCUAUAUCGAUCGGCCUAUUUCGUUCAUUUCCUAAUAUCAAGUAACUAAUUAAUAACUCUCUUGUUCAUUUAAUUUUCUUUGCCUCGUAGGGUUUGGAGACGGUUCGUAGAUACAAAGGUCGGUGAAUUCAAAAAAGAGCUAGAAUUCAAAAUGUUAAAGGCUAAGAAUGCUGGGGAUAUUCAGCCACCGGAGACCAAUCUAUGUGGAUACUAUGUCUGUGAGAUGAUCCGGAGAUACACCUCUGAGCGGGUUCCGAGUGAUACCAAUGCUCAGAGGAAUAACCUCCGGUGGAUGCUUAGUCCAGAAGCUCGCUUCCGACCACUUCAAGAGGAACUAGCUGGAUGGUUCAGCAGGGAAGUCCUCCAUCCUAAAGGAGAACACUAUUACGAGGACGUAGAACUUUAUAUGCAUUAAAUCAUGUAUGGAAACCUGUUCAAAAUUGUAUAUGGUCAUCCGAUGAUAUUGAAUAUAUAUUGUAUAUUCCUCUUGAAUUCUUUUUGGUUCUAAUUUCAAAUUUAUUUGAAAUUGUACAUUCAUAUGCAUGUAUGUAGUACCGUAGAAUAUAUGAAACUCCUUCAAAAUUAAAAUAAAGCACAAAAGAAAUAAAACAAUACAAAUUAAACAGAAAACAGGUUUAAGGGGGGGGGGGCUAAAACCCUAAACCUGCGGCGGCCUUUAGUCGCGGUUGGCCAGAAGAACCGCGACUAAAGGUCCUCCGCCCCGACGGCCACCUGGCGCCCACGUGGACGGGCCUUUAGUCGCGGUUCUUAAGCAACCGCGACUAAAGGGGGGGGCCUUUAGUCGCGCCCGUUCGGUCGCGGUUGCGCAACCGCGACUAAUGGCAGUUGCGAACCGCGACCAAAGGCCCUUUUUCCACCAGUGAUGGCCAUCUUGUUGGUGUCGCCGAACAACGCAAUUGACGACGCAACAUGGAUGAACUUGUUGGAAACGGAUCGGAGCAGCUUCUUCACGACGUACUUCUCCUCCAUCGCAUCACCAAGCUCACGGAUGCGCCCCACGAGCGUCGUGAACCUCGCCGCGAAAUCAUCCACGGACUCCGCAUCACCCAUCUUGAGGCCAUCAAAUUCCGAGCGCAAGGAUUGAACCCUCGCCUCUCGGACGCGCUCGACGCCCACAUGCAUGGAGCGUAGCGCCGCCCACACAUCGGCUGCGGUCUCCUUCUCCGCAACCCGCAGCAGCGUCGAGUCAUCGAUGGACUGGGAGAUGAUCGUCAUGGCCAUCUCCUCCUUGCCCUUGUCGACCUCCGAUGAGGCCUUGCGAUCAACGGCACCCCACGCGCCAUUGGCGCGCAAGAGGUACUUCAUCCUCAUCGCCCAUGCCGCGUAGUUCGUCCUCGUGAGCAGCGGGAAUGGGAGCUUCCCCGCCGCCGCCGUCGUCGCCGCCGUCGCGGCAGCCGCCAUCGCCGCCGAGUCGCUCGGCACCAACGCUCCACUCGCUGAAGAGUCACGCGGCAUCGUCUUCGUCAUCACCUAGCGCUGAUACCAAAUGUUGGAGCUGAAUCUUUCAACCCCUCUUCUUCUUCCUCUAGCUACCUCUCAAAGCUCACGGAAGAACAAAAGAACACAGAUAUUUGGUGGCUGCUGUAUCACACAGCCGACCCUUUUCUCUUCUCUGUAUUUCUCUUCUAAAAGCAAAUAUGCAUACAAGUGCUUAAGUAGACUCACGCUCACGUAGCCGGGCCACACACUCGCCCACUAACUGCAUGCACGCACCCACGCACACCACUAACUAAUGACUUGAUCUUCUCCUAGAAUCACUCUAGGAACCACACGACCCGGCCACUCAUGCAGCAGCAGCUAACAACCUCGGACAUGCAUACACAGCAGCCUCUCGCCACCGUUCGGCAUCUCGCCAUGCGCCAUAUCUCACGGCGCCUCGCAUCUCACCUCCUGCAUGUUCUCCAAGGCUUCACCUGCUACAACUACCUAUAUGCAUGGACAAGCAAACUAAUAUGCAGAUACAUCUGAAUCAAGAUUAAAAAAGCUAACAAUCACCCCCCUAAUCUUGAUUCCCAAUUCUUCAUGUUCAAAGGAGAGCUGGCUCGUCGUCGACGUACUGUCCCAGCAGCGCCUUCUCCUCCUCGUUCUCCUUCUUCUCGGGACACUCCCAAGCGAAGUGACCAAGUUUGCGGCA